RNA transcript from Zootermopsis nevadensis, 1047 nucleotides. RefSeq lists it as uncharacterized. The record is from RefSeq and is a predicted model, not a curated record. Lineage: Eukaryota; Metazoa; Arthropoda; Insecta; Blattodea; Termopsidae.
CCACUUUCCAACUGUACCCUGACACUUGCCGAACAACUGAGAAAAGCACUGAUACUUCAGUCAGGUUUUGUGAGUAGUUGACUUGGUCGCCUUUUUGAGAGCAGCCUCCUGAGCUCCAGUUCUCCUCUGUUACCCGUGGGUGACGUCAGGGAGCCCUUAGUACGCACAAGUGCCUUCCAAGUUGCCGAAAUAAGGGUGUCCCUGCAUCACCUAAUUCUGAAUAGAAGCUCUCAGUUCGUGCUCUGUGGUUGGCGAAGAAUGGAAUCCCCACAUCCUCGUGAAUCUGCCUGUUACUAACGUGCUAAGGUCUCGUCUGAAGUCGGCCUCUCCCUCACCCGGACUCUGAUGGACGUCUAUGUAGAGAUCGGGUCAUACAGAGACCGAGUCCGGCAUAACGGGCCCGUCAGAUAUACGAGGGCCCUCCAGCGUUUACGAAGUGUAUGGAUUCCUCUAGAAAAAAAUUCUUGUGGUUGUCUGCGCAAUCACUCAUCCUCCGCCUGCUGUACCUCUUCAUCAGAACGGAACUUCUUUCCUCCCAUCGCCUCUUUGAGUGGCCCAAACAUGUGGUAAUCACUUGGGGCUAGGUCUAGUGAGUAUGGCGGAUGUGGAAGACACUCAAAGUGCAAGUCUUGGAUUGUUGUAACUGUUGCACCGGCAGUGUGGGGCCGAGCAUUGUCAUGUUGCAAAAGGACACCUCAAGUCAAAAGUCCAUGUCGCUUUGAUCUGACUGCAGGUCGAAGAUGAUUCUUCAAGAUUCUUCACUGAUCAAAAAACGAAUUACAGAAAGUUGUUCUUCUUUCGUACAUGUAACUAGUGGAGCAGCUAUCUUCAAACUGGCACUGUGAUGGCGUUCUGUUUGUCUGCACUAUACUGUCACCUAUAGGAUACUCUUUAUAGCAUUGGUAACAUGUCUGCCAACUUAUAGGACAAUGGCGCGAUAUUUCGAAUUUUUAUCUCAGUUUUACGGUUUUCAUUUGACUCACCCUCGUACUACUGCGGAAACCGGGUGCGGCAGAGACCAAGUCCGGUAGAGGCCGGAUCGUGCAG